Molecule: ribosomal RNA, 253 nt
Filed under: uncultured bacterium
Lineage: Bacteria
Description: partial 16S ribosomal RNA
Rfam family: Bacterial small subunit ribosomal RNA
Source: RNAcentral
UACGUAGGUGACAAGCGUUGUCCGGAUUUACUGGGCGUAAAGAGCGCGCAGGCGGUCGUUCAAGUCGGGUGUGAAAGCCCCCGGCUCAACUGGGGAGGGUCACUUGAAACUGAUCGACUCGAAGGCAGUAGAGGGAAGCGGAAUUCCCGGUGUAGUGGUGAAAUGCGUAGAUAUCGGGAGGAACACCAGUGGCGAAGGCGGCUUCCUGGCCUGUUCUUGACGCUGAGGCGCGAAAGCUAGGGGAGCAAACGGG